This 193-nucleotide ribosomal RNA is filed under the name uncultured bacterium. Its description in RNAcentral is "partial 16S ribosomal RNA". It matches the Rfam family "Bacterial small subunit ribosomal RNA", at positions 338 to 524 of the family's 1533-position model. The record is from RNAcentral.
CCUACGGGAGGCAGCCGCGGUAAUAUUGAGCAAUGGGCGAAAGCCUGACUCAGCAACGCCGCGUGAAGGAUGAAGGCCUUCGGGUCGUAAACUUCUGUCGAGAGGGAAGAAUGCGUGCGGGUGAAUAAUCCGUACGUUUGACGGUACCUCCAAAGGAAGCACCGGCUAACUCCGUGCCAGCAGCCGCGGUAAU